RNAcentral lists this ribosomal RNA (253 nucleotides) under uncultured bacterium. Its description in RNAcentral is "partial 16S ribosomal RNA". It matches the Rfam family "Bacterial small subunit ribosomal RNA", at positions 524 to 776 of the family's 1533-position model. The record is from RNAcentral.
UACGUAGGGGGCAAGCGUUGUCCGGAUUUAUUGGGCGUAAAGAGCGUGUAGGCGGCCAGAUAGGUCGGUUGUGAAAACUGGAGGCUUAACCUCCAGACGUCGACCGAAACCAUCUGGCUAGAGUCCGGAAGAGGAGAGUGGAAUUCCUGGUGUAGCGGUGAAAUGCGCAGAUAUCAGGAAGAACACCCGUGGCGAAAGCGGCUCUCUGGGACGGUACUGACGCUGAGACGCGAAAGCGUGGGGAGCGAACAGG